GUUGUAAAGCUCUUUCAGCCGAACGGCAGGGAUCACCGCUAAUCAUCACGAUCACUGACGGUACCGAUAGCAGAAGCACCGGCUAACUACGUGCCAGCAGCCGCGGUAAUACGUAGGGUGCUAGCGUUGAUCGGAAUUACUGGGCGUAAAGCGUGCGCAGGCGGUUUGGUCAGUCAGAUGUGAAAUCCCCGGGCUUAACCUGGGCACUGCGUUUGAGACUACAAGACUAGAGCGUAGCAGAGGGAGGUGGCAUUUCACGUGUAGCAGUGCAAUGCGUAGAGAUAUGGAAGCACACCGAUGGCGAAGGCAGCCUCCUGGGUUAACACUGACGCUCAUGCACGAAAGCGUGGGGAGCAAACAGGAUUAGAUACCCUGGUAGUCCACGCCCUAAACUAUGUCAACUAGUUGUCGGGCUUUAAAAAGCUUGGUAACGCAGCUAACGCGUGAAGUUGACCGCCUGGGGAGUACGGUCGCAAGAUUAAAACUCAAAGGAAUUGACGGGGACCCGCACAAGCGGUGGAUUAUGUGGAUUUAUUCGAUGCAACGCGAAAAACCUUACCUACCCUUGACAUGUACCGAAGCCCGCCGAGAGGUGGGUGUGCCCGAAAGGGAGCGGUAACACAGGUGCUGCAUGGCUGUCGUCAGCUCGUGUCGU
This 655-nucleotide ribosomal RNA is filed under the name uncultured beta proteobacterium. RNAcentral describes it as "bacterial SSU rRNA". It matches the Rfam family "Bacterial small subunit ribosomal RNA", at positions 422 to 1068 of the family's 1533-position model. Lineage: Bacteria; Pseudomonadati; Pseudomonadota; Betaproteobacteria. The record is from RNAcentral.